Molecule: long non-coding RNA, 7713 nt
Organism: Astatotilapia calliptera (eastern happy)
Lineage: Eukaryota; Metazoa; Chordata; Actinopteri; Cichliformes; Cichlidae
Source: Ensembl
AACAGCAAUUUUAUUGGUCACGUUAACAAAAUCAGACUUAAAAACCAGCAUCGUCGUUACAUACAGGACAUGGCUCUUCAGUAUGUACAGGAACAAGGCAUCGGACCUUUAGAGCGUCACACAUUAAUAACAUGCAGAUUCACUGGCCUCCUGAAGCGCACAACGCAGCGUCUUUUAAAACCAAGUGAAGAGCAAAAACAGGAGAUGGCAGAUAUAUUUGUAGUUAUCGCUGGAGUGAGAAUAUAUUUGCUGAAAUCAGUUACAUUUGAAACUGUUACAUUCAAACGCAUUCACAGAAAGUCGUGAAUCAGGAUUUCAGAAUUUUUAAGAUUUAUAAAAUGGUAAUGAACAACUCUCACUAAUAAACACUGGUCAUGGUAGAGCUUUAACAACACAACUCGGUUUGAGACUGUACAAAAUCCUCUGUGCUCUUCAUUCAAUACAUCAGUGAGCAAAACAGGUGUCUGUGCAGCUCGAGCAAUUUAGAUUGUUCUUAGGCGGGACGAUAAUAUCAGCAAAUAUGCAAUCUAAUAUUUAUUAUUGGAUGAAAUUAAAAAAAAAAAACAAAGGUAAGAAAAUCCUCUUCACUCUUUGUGGGACUGAGGUUUGGUUUCUUGUAAAAAUCAUACAAAGUCCUUAAAACUUCCUCUUUAGACAGAAAGAAGCUGAUGUAUAUUUUAAAGAGCAUCUGAAUCCUCUACAGUAAUUACCUGCAGUAACGAUCCUUUGCAAGGAUUCAAACUUGGAAAAACAUACAACAGUUAGCAGCAUUUUAUGUAGGACUAAAGUUAAAAAGGAAACACUGAGAAACAUUUGUGAGACACCAGGUUCACACAGAAUACAUCACAUGAAUGCUGUUACAAAUAAAACCAGCCUUUAAUUAUCCUGAUCUGGUUGAAGAUGGUUGCUUUAUCAGGAGCUCAGGCCUGUUUUGGGGGCAACUGAAGCAUCAUAACUACCCUGUAAUUCGAAUGGCUCCCUCUUAAUGACCGCUGGUUGAAGUUAAAGGGAAAACAAGCAUCAUAAAAGGAUGAUUUCCUGCUGUUUCUGAAUUUCCACAAACUGGAGAAACUAGAGAAAAGGAAAACAGCAAACAGAUUCCUGAGCCACAUUCAUAAAAGUCUGUGACAAAAUCUGUGUCUGUACACAGCUUAUAAAGCUCUGUGCAUGCACGGUCCCGCUCUCUAAAGUCUUAAUUACUGUGAAAUUUCAUGCAUGUACACAAGCAUAAUUUGCACUCUGGUCUUUAACUGUAGGCGCUUCCGUAAUUCAACCUUUGCAUUUAAAUUCUCUGUAAAUUCUCGAGUUAUUUUGGCAGGUAAGUAAACACCAAUGAAGAACAGCAAUUUGUUGAUCUCACUGAGAAACAUCUAAUGAAAACUGUAAUGAGACCAUCAACUCUGAAAUGGUGGUGCUGCAAAGUUUGCUCAAGAAAGCGGAGUGCUCAAUCCAGAACAGUCUGAUUGUGCAACUUUUAUGCGUCUGGCCUUCUGAUAAGUAAAGUUCACAGAAAAUACAGGAGGAGCUACUGAGUCGAGUAAUAUCGAGAUUUAUUUGACCAGGUUUUCAUGAAGACAGAGCUCUGUUCUUCUUUUGUAACAAGUAAACAACUUUAAGAUGAUUUUUACACAGAUAUUUGCAACUUAGCACCAAGAGUGAAGAGAUAAAUGUAGUUCUCUUAAAUUCAUGAAUAUAACAAUAAAUGUGACUAUUUUAUACUUGGAGUAAUAAACCAGCAUUAUCUCACACACCGCCUGCUCUGUAAUCCUGGUUUUCGCUCAGGUUAAAGGGCUAUGUCACCUUUCUCAAGUAAUACAAUCAUUAUAAGACUCAAAUAUCAACAGAGAGUUUUUUUAUUUUACUUUCUGCUAUUUAUAAUAAUCUGUAAUCUAUAAACGUUUCCAUUAAUUUAUAAUAUAACAUAACUAAAAUUCCACCUUAAAAUCAAAGUGAUAUAUCCCUUUAAAUUCUUUUUUUUUUUUUUUUUGCUAUAUUUUGUACUAAACUUUACUUUCAUUGUCAUAUAUUCAUUGCAAAAGACUCACAGACAAACACAAAACUUCUUUCUCAGGCCACAUAAUAUUUUUCAUAGUUUUUGUACACUUCUUAGACCUUAAUAUGCAUCCCUUCAUUCUGCUUUCAUAAAGCGAUAUUUCACUUGGACAGAAAUGUUUAUUUUUUUUAAUCUAAAUUACUGAACAGUCAGCUGUAAACAGAGGCUGCCUCGGGGGCAUCGCUCACUCUUUUAUUUCUACUUUUUAUGUAACGUCUGAAAAUGUUGCUGCUGACACGAUUCGAGGCAACGUGACCUCAGAUGGUUUCCAUGUUUACUUCUUUUAAAGCAGGAACGUCAAACUCAUUUGAAUGUAAUAAACUCAGAGAAAAGUGCAGUGAUAACUCAAAGAAUCCCAUCAGCAUGUCCACUCAGGCUUUAAUCCACACUAUAAGAAAUGGAUCCAUAAAAUCACAAAAAAGUACUGACAUUAGCCAGACUUUGUUUCCUGAUUUAAGAAAAGAGAAAUUUUCUGUUAUAUCACAGAUAAUUUCUGAUUUCUCUUUAAUGGAGACAAAUGAUAUUUGAUAUGGUUCAUCUAUAAAGAAAAAACAAACUUUUCUGUUAUUUAAUGCUUUUUCUGUUACUUUUAUUGGGAUGUGGCAGCCUGAGGUUCAAGCCUUUGUCAGUAGGACCUCAGGCUCAGGAGACAAUAACAGUUUGGAGUCUUGUGAUUCUUACUUAAUGAAAAGUUAAAUUUGAGCCCUUCUUCUCUGCAAAGCACGCCGGGCUGGACCUUUGACGGGCCAGUUCUGGCUCUUGUUGUUUGGUACGUUUGACAUCCCUGUUUUAAGGCUCCAAAAUUAAACUCUCUUAAAACGUUUUUAUUCUCAUGGUUUGGUCAUGAUAGGAACUUUCUUUAGAUUAAACAUGACCAUGCUGUGAGCAUAAAGGCAUUUCAUUUGUUAUUUAGAGGACAAUGCCUUGGAGUUAUCUGACUUUAAAGCCUAUGUGUAUAUAUCUCAAUCAAAGAUCCAUCAAAUCAGGCAAAAACAACAUGAAUCCUUUAUCAUUUCAGCUUCAUGGAAGCUGACUGACACUGAAGAUCGUCCAAAAAACUUUCCACCGGUGUGAAAUAUCACUUUAUCUAAUCAAAUAUACAUCUAUUACCUCUGCAUGUUUCAGAGAAGAAGAAAAAAAAAGUACUUUAUACUGAAGUCAUGUGACUGUUUACACCAAACUGGCUCGCGUGUGAACGACAGAGAUCAUGAGAUUGGGCGACUCUGCCGCGAUGCACCAGCUCCAGCGUUACAGUAUUAGUUUGUACAUUCAUUGAGUCUCAGAGUGAAAUGCUACUGUUGUUUGUCACAUUUGUACAUAAAGGGAAACAUCGAGCCGCAGCCUGCAGAAGGAAGGACCUUUCAGAACGCUUACAUUUCUGUUUUAACCAGGAGCUUGUUGUCACAGCGACCUGCGGUGGAUUUUUUCUGAGGCGCCGGGACGUGUUGUGAUUAAUGAGAAUCAAAUCAGGGUCACAACCCUGUGUGCUGCUGAAGUGUCCUUGAGCAUCGUUCUGAAUCCCAAACAGCUGUGAGAAUGCUGUGCUGUGUCUGAACUUUGACCUCUGACCACUCAGUGUGGAGAAAUGAGGGAGGGUGAGGACGUUUUUUUCUCUUUUUGUGCAACCAGAUUGUUUUUGUUCGUUUUAGCUCUGAUAUUUCUGCUUUAAACUAGGAAGGAAGGAAAAUAAAGAUAUGCACUAGAUGAAGUGGGGGGUGCAGGUGCAUGCAGAUAUUUUUAAAAACAUAGAGCAGAGCGAAGUCAAAUUGUGCCUGAUAACUGUCCGCUAGCAUUCACCUCGUCAUAUUUAAGCUGAUACCAGGGCCGUUAUCAAAGAGAAACACCCGGCACCAAAGACUCCUGAGCUCUCUGAGAGAACUCUGAUGGUAGAAAUUCAACUUCCAGGGAAAGUUUUAACCUGUUUUGUGUCCCAUAGAGCACUGAAAUUACACCUAUUUUAGGAAUUCCCCCAAAAAUAAGUCCCGAAGCAUUUCAUGAUGACUGCAGAGUGGCGACUUUAAUUUGGAAUUGAUUUGAAGAGCAAAUUAGCAAAUCACAGAAAGGGCGGGUUGUUCAGGCUGCUUUAACCUUCCCAUACCUGAAAUGCUACUGUAAGCUGCUUUGCAACCCACCUCCUCCCACUUGUUUUUCUCUUUCUGACUUAAUCGGUGUAAAACUCUACCGCCAAUGAUGCCUUCUCUGUUCUGUGUCUGUGUGGAACAGAGCCAUGCUGAUAAAUAUAGCGACUGACCCUGACUGAACAAGGUUCAUUUACAUUUCCUGAUUCAAGCCUAUAAAAGGUGAGAUUAGAAAAUACAUUUAACACCUUGUUUUGGUUAAAAAACAAAGUGGGUCGAUUGGCAGCGACUUCUAAAAACACACAUGAAUGUUUCUGUACAUAAUCACCUUGAUUUCCAAUCAAGCGGCUGAAAAAUGAAACCAAUGCAAAUGUGUAAACAAACAAACAACCUGCCGUUCUUCUGAAUGUCCAUUUGAGGCUGACUAUGAACGUGAGUCAGUCCCCACAGACUCUGUUAAAAUCUCCGACUUUACAGCAGAAAUAAAAUGUUUACAGCCUGAUGCUAAAAUUGUUUUGGCCUCUGUGGACGUUUGUCUUCAUUCAUAAUGUGGCUGCUUUGACUGACUCGUGCUUACACCUGCAGCUGUUAGCUGUGCUGGCUCCACCUUCUCAAAUUCAAGUCACUGAACUGGACCUCAACGCCUUGUUGGAGCAUUUUAGUGCAAUUAUCAGACAAAUAUUAUGAUGCAGGUUACAGGUCGUCCAACCUUUGCUUCGGAAAGACCAACAUGGUGACGGCCAAAACGCUCACGCUCGAUUUUCAAAACCUAAAAUCCAGAAACAAGCUGGUAAACCCUUCUCUUCCAUGAAAUGAAAUUAGGGUAUCAUUUCUACAGUGGCACGUUUAUCCAGUACUUGUCUUUACAUCAAUGAGAACAAAGCAAAAAACUUAAAGCUCACAGGUUAUUCUGCAAAUAUUUCUUGGUGCUGGUUUGCCAAGUUGCACUCAGUGAAUCAGGGAAACAUUAAACCUUCUGUUUAUAUCCCAUAAAACCAGAUAAAGAGACUUAAUAUCAUCAUAUUUUCUCUGUUGUGCAAGGAGUAUUACAUUUUUAUUCAUUUUUUAGAAUCUACUGAGUAUGUCUCAGAUGCCAAUAAAAGGAAAUUUAAGAAAGUCUAGCUGCUAAUAUUUUAUUCAUUCAGCCCAGCAGAGUUUUUUGUCGGUUUUAUCCUCAUGCAUUUAAAGUUCUGACUACUCAGCUAAACUCUCCUCUUAGCCUGGAGUGAAUUAACGCUCUGAUUCUUGGAAAAUGUGUAAUUUAUUUAUUCCCACAAAGGCUGAGUGUGCAUCUCGUCCUAGCCAGAGGUUUCAGGAGACUCUGAGACACUGUCUCCUCUAUCAUGUCCUCACAAGGACUUUUCAUGACAUCCGAGAGCUGCUCUACCAACAGUCCUUUGAUAUAAAUAGACUAUUUCCAUGGCAACCGAGUCAUGGCGGUGCCCGCGGAAUAAAGAUUGAUUUUCUCUCGUGUCUUCGGUCAAAGUUCUUGACAUUCAAGGAUGUCACAGAGGAAGUGAAACACAGAAACAUAGUUUCACACUUUUCAGACGCUCACAUCCUCCAUCUGUUUACAUCUGCUUAAUUAUAAAAUCCAUUUGUGCAUUUAACUGUGACCUCACUCUUCACCCUUUGUGAGUGCAGCGGCGCUGUAGUAAUGCCGUCAGGGCAGGAGUGCAGCUAAUAAAUAUAUGCAGACCUAUGAGUCACUUUAGCAAACGAAGACAGUGAGUGUUUCUCACUCAUGACUCUUCUGCAUAUUCACAAACAGCUCACCUACGUCCUCAUCGCAGACUUCAUAAUGCCCGCCUUCAGGUCUGAAUAAUGAAGCUGGUGUGGAAGAGCCUCAAAGCUGUAUUCCUGCUAAUGACCAGCAGGGGCAACGCCCUCUAUACUUUGAUUGCACCUGUGAGGAAAAUGACCCUACUUCUCAAUUGAUCUUAAACCAGUGCAGACAGUUUCCUGAUGAGCUCACAACUUUGGCUGUCAAAAGAAAGCGACAACAGCACAAACAAAUUUAGCCAGCAUUAAAGGAUGUGAGGAGAAGCUCAAGCGUUCGUUUGGUUUCUGCAAAUCUGUUUUAAACUUGGCAUUUUUCAAAGCUUCCAGCAGCUCAGAUAUUUAUUUUUAUUUGCAAAACCAAAAUCUGGCAGAACAAAAAUCCACAGCAGUCUUUUCUUUGUCUCAUGUAUGAAACAUGUUAUUUGGACUCUGAAUUCUGUGCAACCUGCGACUGACAUUACAAACACACUCAGAGUGCAGCUCAGUGAUGAUUACAUUUCUGAAUUUCUGCUGGUUUUCUACCAUUUUCACACAUUUUCACAUGUAGUUGAUCAAAUUCAAACCAAUAUGAGCUCUAAGACUGAAGUUUUGAAAAAAUACUCUCAUGCGUGCCCCCCUCCUCCCAUCUGAAUGAGCUUUUCGAAGUGUAAUCCUCAUUCUUUCUGUGUCCUCCUCACCUGACUGCAUCCAUCCACAUAACUGAACUAAAGACCCUUUCAAGCCCUUUUCUUCCAGCUCUGUGCAUCCAACCUGUGUGAAGUGACCGAGCACCAACAAUCGUUCCUUCUGUGAUGUUGUUUCUCCCCACUAACAUGGACCUGCAGGGUCCACAGGCCUAAUCUGUUUCUCCCCCAAAGAGAACCAGGUUCAGACUUGUUUUUUUCCAACCUUGUUAAAACCUUAAGCCUUGUCUUUUUAUUUCUGGCUGCCCAGAGGCCAGCGGGGAAACAUCAAUGUGUCAUUCAAAGUAUUCAUGCAGAGUCACUCCUCGUCUUCCCCGCUAAGCUGAAAAUCCGCCUCUUCAAGAAUCACCUCACGUCACCCGGCGACUCGGCUGCAUCCCACCGCCUCGCCCACAUCUCCUCCCCUCCUUCACUCCUCUCUACUUCAUCCACACAUGAAUAGGAUAGCUUCAGCCUGUUUCCAAAGCAACACGAUGACAAUGAAGUGACACUUUGACCUUUGCAAUCCUCACUUCUACUAGCAUGACGCUAAAGCAUCUCAGCCUGAAACUUUAUCUCCAUGUUGGCGUUUCUACUGUUUCUGAAUCCAGUGCAACAGGAAAGAGUCUGAAAACCUGGAACGACUUUGACAUUUUUGCACUUCUGCUUCUUCUGUCUUUUUUUAAGGUUUUAUUUUAAAUUCAUGUCUCUUGUUAAUGUCGAUGAGGCUAAACAGGAUUCAGAACCUGUGGAAAGGAGUGCUGGGGAUGCUGCAGCACUCCGUGGAUGAUUGCAGAAGAACUUGAGAAGAAGUUUGAUUUGUCAUUUCAUUUUCAUGUUUUAUUUUAUUGCAGUAAGUAAGUGAUCAAACUAUCAUGAACUUAUAUAUCCCACAGAGCGUCUCCAAUAUUCCAAAACCUGCUUUUGGCUGAGGGAAAAGUUCAGGACUUCUGGAGUGUGAUGUAAAAGUAGCAGAUGCUGAAAAUGUGCCCGAGAAAGGUGUUUCUGACUUUUACAGUUACUGGAACAUAUUUUUCAGCGCUAUGUCAGCCUUUUGUGUGUCUUUGGUUGUGCUCGCAGCCAACAUGUUUGCAGCUUGGGAAAGUGAGAAAAUUACUGUUGAAGGAGCAGCUUUUUA